This 435-nucleotide ribosomal RNA is filed under the name uncultured Ruminococcus sp. RNAcentral's name for it is "partial 16S ribosomal RNA". It matches the Rfam family "Bacterial small subunit ribosomal RNA", at positions 341 to 792 of the family's 1533-position model. The record is from RNAcentral. Lineage: Bacteria; Bacillati; Bacillota; Clostridia; Eubacteriales; Oscillospiraceae.
ACGGGAGGCAGCAGUGGGGAAUAUUGCACAAUGGAGGAAACUCUGAUGCAGCGAUGCCGCGUGGAGGAAGAAGGUUUUCGGAUUGUAAACUCCUGUCGUAAGGGACGAGAAAGGACGGUACCUUACAAGAAAGCUCCGGCUAACUACGUGCCAGCAGCCGCGGUAAUACGUAGGGAGCGAGCGUUGUCCGGAAUGACUGGGUGUAAAGGGAGCGUAGGCGGGACGGCAAGUCAGAUGUGAAAACUACAGGCUCAACCUGUAGACUGCAUUCGAAACUGCUGUUCUUGAGUGAGGUAGAGGUAAGCGGAAUUCCUGGUGUAGCGGUGAAAUGCGUAGAGAUCAGGAGGAACAUCGGUGGCGAAGGCGGCUUACUGGGCCUUUACUGACGCUGAGGCUCGAAAGCGUAGGGAGCAAACAGGAUUAGAUACCCUGGUA